This 527-nucleotide ribosomal RNA is filed under the name Fusarium sp. NRRL 25483. Its description in RNAcentral is "eukaryotic LSU rRNA". It matches the Rfam family "Eukaryotic large subunit ribosomal RNA", at positions 74 to 624 of the family's 3401-position model. The record is from RNAcentral. Lineage: Eukaryota; Fungi; Ascomycota; Sordariomycetes; Hypocreales; Nectriaceae.
AUUGCCCUAGUAACGGCGAGUGAAGCGGCAACAGCUCAAAUUUGAAAUCUGGCUCUCGGGCCCGAGUUGUAAUUUGUAGAGGAUGCUUUUGAUGCGGUGCCUUCCGAGUUCCCUGGAACGGGACGCCAUAGAGGGUGAGAGCCCCGUCUGGUUGGAUGCCAAAUCUCUGUAAAGCUCCUUCGACGAGUCGAGUAGUUUGGGAAUGCUGCUCUAAAUGGGAGGUAUAUGUCUUCUAAAGCUAAAUAUUGGCCAGAGACCGAUAGCGCACAAGUAGAGUGAUCGAAAGAUGAAAAGCACUUUGAAAAGAGAGUUAAAAAGUACGUGAAAUUGUUGAAAGGGAAGCGUUUAUGACCAGACUUGGGCUUGGUUAAUCAUCUGGGGUUCUCCCCAGUGCACUUUUCCAGUCCAGGCCAGCAUCAGUUUUCGCCGGGGGAUAAAGGCUUCGGGAAUGUGGCUCCCUCCGGGGAGUGUUAUAGCCCGUUGCGUAAUACCCUGGCGGGGACUGAGGUUCGCGCAUCUGCAAGGAU